UCGGGGCUCCUCGUGGAGAGCCAGGGGCUCCUGCCGGCCUGUGACUGGGGUGUCGUUGCAGGGACGUCCCCAUGUUGCGUUUUCCAACCUGUUUCCCGUCCUUCCGGGUGGUGGGAGAGAAGCAGCUCCCGCAGGAGAUUAUUUUCCUGGUCUGGUCGCCCAAGCGGGAUCUCAUUGCUUUGGCCAACACAGCGGGCGAGGUUUUACUUCAUCGACUGGCAAGUUUUCAUCGAGUUUGGAGUUUUCCACCAAAUGAAAAUACAGGAAAGGAGGUGACGUGUUUGGCAUGGAGACCAGAUGGCAAACGUAAUGAUAAUAUUACAAAAAAUAUAUUUUUAUUUUCACAAAGUGUAUUCUGUAAAGCCCAUUUUCAGAAAGGAUUUAUUGUUCUUAGUAUACAUUAGAAUUAUAAAUAUCAAUUUGGGAACUUUUU
RNAcentral lists this small RNA (433 nucleotides) under Pongo abelii (Sumatran orangutan). RNAcentral describes it as "retained intron". Lineage: Eukaryota; Metazoa; Chordata; Mammalia; Primates; Hominidae. The record is from RNAcentral.